This 397-nucleotide ribosomal RNA is filed under the name uncultured bacterium. RNAcentral's name for it is "partial 16S ribosomal RNA". It matches the Rfam family "Bacterial small subunit ribosomal RNA", at positions 523 to 917 of the family's 1533-position model. The record is from RNAcentral.
AUACGUAGGGUGCGAGCGUUGUCCGGAAUUACUGGGCGUAAAGAGCUCGUAGGUGGUUUGUCGCGUCGUCUGUGAAAUUCCCGGGCUUAACUCCGGGCGUGCAGGCGAUACGGGCAUAACUUGAGUACUGUAGGGGAGACUGGAAUUCCUGGUGUAGCGGUGAAAUGCGCAGAUAUCAGGAGGAACACCGGUGGCGAAGGCGGGUCUCGGGGCAGUAACUGACGCGGAGGAGCGAAAGCAUGGGUAGCGAACAGGAUUAGAUCCCCUGGUAGUCCAUGCCGUAAACGGUGGGCGCUAGGUGUAGGGGUCUUCCACGACUUCUGUGCCGUAGCUAACGCAUUAAGCGCCCCGCCUGGGGAGUACGGCCGCAAGGCUAAAACUCAAAUGAAUUGACGGG